Molecule: ribosomal RNA, 253 nt
Filed under: uncultured bacterium
Lineage: Bacteria
Description: partial 16S ribosomal RNA
Rfam family: Bacterial small subunit ribosomal RNA
Source: RNAcentral
UACGUAGGUGACCAGCGUUGUCCGGAUUUACUGGGCGUAAAGAGCGCGCAGGCGGUCGUUCAAGUCGAGUGUGAAAGCCCCCGGCUCAACUGGGGAGGGUCACUCGAUACUGAUCGACUUGAAGGCAGGAGAGGGAAGCGGAAUUCCCGGUGUAGUGGUGAAAUGCGCAGAUAUCAGGAGGAACACCGACGGCGAAGGCAGCUUACUGGGCCGAUACUGACGCUGAGGAGCGAAAGCGUGGGGAGCGAACAGG